UACGAAGGGUGCAAACGUUGCUCGGAAUUAUUGGGCGUAAAGCGCACGUAGGCGGCUUAGCAAGUCGGAAGUGAAAUCCCUCGGCUCAACCAAGGAAGUGCUUUCGAAACUGCUGAGCUUGAGUACUUAAGAGGAUCGCGGAAUUCCCGGUGUAGAGGUGAAAUUCGUAGAUAUCGGGAGGAACACCAGUGGCGAAGGCGGCGAUCUGGGAAGAUACUGACGCUGAGGUGCGAAAGCGUGGGGAGCAAACAGGG
RNAcentral lists this ribosomal RNA (254 nucleotides) under uncultured bacterium. RNAcentral's name for it is "partial 16S ribosomal RNA". It matches the Rfam family "Bacterial small subunit ribosomal RNA", at positions 524 to 777 of the family's 1533-position model. The record is from RNAcentral.